RNAcentral lists this ribosomal RNA (329 nucleotides) under uncultured eukaryote. RNAcentral's name for it is "partial 18S ribosomal RNA". It matches the Rfam family "Eukaryotic small subunit ribosomal RNA", at positions 1470 to 1796 of the family's 1831-position model. The record is from RNAcentral.
CCCUUAGAUGUCCUGGGCCGCACGCGCGCUACACUGAGUGUCUGAGAUACGAGUCUACCUGGUCCGGCAAGGUCUAGGUAAUCGCUAAAAGACACAUCAUGCUUGGGAUAGAUUAUUGCAAAUAUUAAUCUUGAACGAGGAAUUCCUAGUAAGCGCAAGUCAACAGCUUGCGUUGAUUACGUCCCUGCCCUUUGUACACACCGCCCGUCGCUACUACUGAUUGGAUGUUUAAGCGAGGUUCUCGAACUGCUAGCGACUUAGCUUCGGUGAGGUCGCAGUGUGGGAAGUGAACCUAGCUUUGGUGUCUAGAGGAAGUAAAAGUCGUAACA